GUCUACAGCCAUACCACCCUGAACGCGCCCGAUCUCGUCUGAUCUCGGAAGCUAAGUAGGGUCGGGCCUGGUUAGUACUUGGAUGGGAGACUGGAGGAUUCUGGGGCACCUGGCU
RNAcentral lists this ribosomal RNA (115 nucleotides) under Felis catus (domestic cat). Lineage: Eukaryota; Metazoa; Chordata; Mammalia; Carnivora; Felidae. The record is from RNAcentral.